Molecule: ribosomal RNA, 253 nt
Filed under: uncultured bacterium
Lineage: Bacteria
Description: partial 16S ribosomal RNA
Rfam family: Bacterial small subunit ribosomal RNA
Source: RNAcentral
AACGUAGGAGGCGAGCGUUAUCCGGAUUUACUGGGCGUAAAGCGCACGCAGGCGGCCGGGUGAGUCGGACGUGAAAGCUCCUGGCUUAACUGGGAGAGGUCGUUCGAUACUGCCCGGCUUGAGGUUGGGAGAGGGGUGCGGAAUUCCCGGUGUAGUGGUGGAAUGCGUAGAUAUCGGGAGGAACACCAGUGGCGAAGGCGGCACCCUGGCCCACACCUGACGCUGAGGUGCGAAAGCGUGGGUAGCAAACAGG